UGCAUUUUUCAAAGAACUGGCCACUUUCUGUAAGAUGUCCGCUGUCAAUACGAACCCGCACGAGUGGGAGAAAUUUUGCUAAAUUUGACCAACGUGCAGCCCCCCAAGUCAACAUGAAAUUUCAACAAGGGGGCUCAGCUCCCCUGAGCCCUCCCUCCAGUACACCACUUGGCCUAUCUUCUAAGCAAGGAAUUUUUUUUUUUGCACUAUGCCUUGAAAGAUUUUUUUUUUUUCAUUUUUUUCUGGGAAUAAUUUUUUUUUUGGUUUUGCCCCCCCCCCAUCACUUUUCUAAUGGUCCGUCCCUUAGCUAGGAUAUAGAUGCCGGAAUAUAUAGAGGGCGUAUUAUACAGACACAAAAUGUAUAUAAUUAAAAUAACUAUAUAUUGAUAUAUUGAUGGAAUGAUUUAUAAUUGAUGUGAUGUAUUUGUGACCAUUGCGCAAAGAUAUUUCACAAAGGUUUAUUAUU
Molecule: non-coding RNA, 466 nt
Organism: Paramuricea clavata
Lineage: Eukaryota; Metazoa; Cnidaria; Anthozoa; Malacalcyonacea; Plexauridae
Source: the annotation of a GenBank genome assembly